ACAACCUCAACUCAUAUGGGACUAC
This 25-nucleotide non-coding RNA is filed under the name Drosophila erecta. Lineage: Eukaryota; Metazoa; Arthropoda; Insecta; Diptera; Drosophilidae. RNAcentral also lists the same sequence under 11 other names. The record is from RNAcentral.